RNAcentral lists this ribosomal RNA (2030 nucleotides) under Staphylococcus aureus DAR3177. RNAcentral describes it as "bacterial LSU rRNA". It matches the Rfam family "Bacterial large subunit ribosomal RNA", at positions 892 to 2925 of the family's 2925-position model. Lineage: Bacteria; Bacillati; Bacillota; Bacilli; Caryophanales; Staphylococcaceae. The record is from RNAcentral.
AUUAUUGGAGGUAGAGCACUGUUUGGACGAGGGGCCCCUCUCGGGUUACCGAAUUCAGACAAACUCCGAAUGCCAAUUAAUUUAACUUGGGAGUCAGAACAUGGGUGAUAAGGUCCGUGUUCGAAAGGGAAACAGCCCAGACCACCAGCUAAGGUCCCAAAAUAUAUGUUAAGUGGAAAAGGAUGUGGCGUUGCCCAGACAACUAGGAUGUUGGCUUAGAAGCAGCCAUCAUUUAAAGAGUGCGUAAUAGCUCACUAGUCGAGUGACACUGCGCCGAAAAUGUACCGGGGCUAAACAUAUUACCGAAGCUGUGGAUUGUCCUUUGGACAAUGGUAGGAGAGCGUUCUAAGGGCGUUGAAGCAUGAUCGUAAGGACAUGUGGAGCGCUUAGAAGUGAGAAUGCCGGUGUGAGUAGCGAAAGACGGGUGAGAAUCCCGUCCACCGAUUGACUAAGGUUUCCAGAGGAAGGCUCGUCCGCUCUGGGUUAGUCGGGUCCUAAGCUGAGGCCGACAGGCGUAGGCGAUGGAUAACAGGUUGAUAUUCCUGUACCACCUAUAAUCGUUUUAAUCGAUGGGGGGACGCAGUAGGAUAGGCGAAGCGUGCGAUUGGAUUGCACGUCUAAGCAGUAAGGCUGAGUAUUAGGCAAAUCCGGUACUCGUUAAGGCUGAGCUGUGAUGGGGAGAAGACAUUGAGUCUUCGAGUCGUUGAUUUCACACUGCCGAGAAAAGCCUCUAGAUAGAAAAUAGGUGCCCGUACCGCAAACCGACACAGGUAGUCAAGAUGAGAAUUCUAAGGUGAGCGAGCGAACUCUCGUUAAGGAACUCGGCAAAAUGACCCCGUAACUUCGGGAGAAGGGGUGCUCUUUAGGGUUAACGCCCAGAAGAGCCGCAGUGAAUAGGCCCAAGCGACUGUUUAUCAAAAACACAGGUCUCUGCUAAACCGUAAGGUGAUGUAUAGGGGCUGACGCCUGCCCGGUGCUGGAAGGUUAAGAGGAGUGGUUAGCUUCUGCGAAGCUACGAAUCGAAGCCCCAGUAAACGGCGGCCGUAACUAUAACGGUCCUAAGGUAGCGAAAUUCCUUGUCGGGUAAGUUCCGACCCGCACGAAAGGCGUAACGAUUUGGGCACUGUCUCAACGAGAGACUCGGUGAAAUCAUAGUACCUGUGAAGAUGCAGGUUACCCGCGACAGGACGGAAAGACCCCGUGGAGCUUUACUGUAGCCUGAUAUUGAAAUUCGGCACAGCUUGUACAGGAUAGGUAGGAGCCUUUGAAACGUGAGCGCUAGCUUACGUGGAGGCGCUGGUGGGAUACUACCCUAGCUGUGUUGGCUUUCUAACCCGCACCACUUAUCGUGGUGGGAGACAGUGUCAAGCGGGCAGUUUGACUGGGGCGGUCGCCUCCUAAAAGGUAACGGAGGCGCUCAAAGGUUCCCUCAGAAUGGUUGGAAAUCAUUCAUAGAGUGUAAAGGCAUAAGGGAGCUUGACUGCGAGACCUACAAGUCGAGCAGGGUCGAAAGACGGACUUAGUGAUCCGGUGGUUCCGCAUGGAAGGGCCAUCGCUCAACGGAUAAAAGCUACCCCGGGGAUAACAGGCUUAUCUCCCCCAAGAGUUCACAUCGACGGGGAGGUUUGGCACCUCGAUGUCGGCUCAUCGCAUCCUGGGGCUGUAGUCGGUCCCAAGGGUUGGGCUGUUCGCCCAUUAAAGCGGUACGCGAGCUGGGUUCAGAACGUCGUGAGACAGUUCGGUCCCUAUCCGUCGUGGGCGUAGGAAAUUUGAGAGGAGCUGUCCUUAGUACGAGAGGACCGGGAUGGACAUACCUCUGGUGUACCAGUUGUCGUGCCAACGGCAUAGCUGGGUAGCUAUGUGUGGACGGGAUAAGUGCUGAAAGCAUCUAAGCAUGAAGCCCCCCUCAAGAUGAGAUUUCCCAACUUCGGUUAUAAGAUCCCUCAAAGAUGAUGAGGUUAAUAGGUUCGAGGUGGAAGCAUGGUGACAUGUGGAGCUGACGAAUACUAAUCGAUCGAAGACUUAAUCAA